AGCGUAGGUGGAUAUUUAAGUGGGAUGUGAAAUACUCGGGCUCAACCUGAGUGCUGCAUUCCAAACUGGAUAUCUAGAGUGCAGGAGAGGAAAGUAGAAUUCCUAGUGUAGCGGUGAAAUGCGUAGAGAUUAGGAAGAAUACCAUGGCGAAGGCGACUUUCUGGACUGUAACUGACACUGAGGCUGAAAGCGUGGGGAGCAAACA
RNAcentral lists this ribosomal RNA (205 nucleotides) under uncultured bacterium. Its description in RNAcentral is "partial 16S ribosomal RNA". It matches the Rfam family "Bacterial small subunit ribosomal RNA", at positions 568 to 774 of the family's 1533-position model. The record is from RNAcentral.